CAUGGUUUCCUGCUUCCUUAAAGAGCAGGUGGUGCGGAUGGAGUUUACUCCCGCCUGGUUUCUUGUUUCCAGUUAAAGAACAAGUGGCGAGCCUAGGG
The submitters of this non-coding RNA (98 nucleotides) gave its source as unclassified sequences. The record is from Rfam.